RNAcentral lists this long non-coding RNA (247 nucleotides) under Oryza brachyantha (malo sina). RNAcentral describes it as "long non-coding RNA (OBRA_LNC000854)". Lineage: Eukaryota; Viridiplantae; Streptophyta; Magnoliopsida; Poales; Poaceae. The record is from RNAcentral.
CGCAUCCACAUCUCCCCCCUCCGCCCGCAUCGCUCCACCCUCUCUCUCUCUCUUCCCCCCCUCGCGCGACCCCGGCGGCUGGAUAGAUAACCCUAGCCCUCCCGAUCUCCCUCCCGCGUCCUCAUCUUCCUUCUCCAGAUCGCUAUAUAAGACCUCGGAUUUCGAAAUUUUCCGCCAACUUUCCGCCCCGCCCCACCUCUUCCCGCCAUUUCCCCGGUCCUUUCUUCUCCGGCGCGGGGCCGGAUCC